RNAcentral lists this ribosomal RNA (459 nucleotides) under uncultured bacterium. RNAcentral describes it as "partial 16S ribosomal RNA". It matches the Rfam family "Bacterial small subunit ribosomal RNA", at positions 338 to 795 of the family's 1533-position model. The record is from RNAcentral.
CCUACGGGUGGCUGCAGUGAGGAAUAUUGGUCAAUGGGCGCGAGCCUGAACCAGCCACGUCGCGUGAGGGAAGACGGUCCUAGGGAUUGUAAACCUCUUUUGCCGGGGAGCAAAAGACGCCACGCGUGGCGUUCCGAGAGUACCCGAAGAAAAAGCAUGGGCAAACUCCGUGCCAGCAGCCGCGGUAAUACGGAGGAUGCGUGCGUUAUCCGGAUUUAGUGGGGUAAAAGGGUGCGCAGGCGGAAGAUAAAGCCAGCGGUAAAAUUGAGAGGCUCAACCUCUUCGAGCCGUUGAAACUGGUUUUCUUGAGUGAACGAGAGGUAUGCGGAAUGCGUGGUGUAGCGGUGAAAUGCAUAGAUAUCACGAAGAACUCCGAUUGCGAAGGCAGCAUACCGGCGCUCAACUGACGCUCAUGCACGAAAGUGUGGGUAUCGAACAGGAUUAGAUACCCGAGUAGUC